UUCCUUUAACUUUACUGCACCGUUUUAUUUUAAUCAGAAAGCUGUGCGUCAGUCUACCAAACCAAAACAAAAAGGAUCCUUCUGUUAAAUCGUAAUGGAAUUGCUGAACCACAGAAUUAUUACUGUGCACGAGGCCAUAUGGUCCAUCAGACCCGCUGUCGCCCGCCGCCGACGUCAGACAGCCCCGUGGAAAAGGCCCAUCCUCCGCCGCGAGCAAUCAGUGCAGAUUCAUCCGCCACUGCAGAGAAAGAGUUCCUUGAGGGGUGUGAAAUGAGCGAAGGGGAGCGCUGACUGCGAUCAUGUGAAAUGCUCACUGCCCCCGGGGACUGGAAAUAGUUAACAUUAGCUUCAUUUUAAAUCAACCAAAUGUUUUAAACACUUACCGUACCUCAAUAACAAUAAUAAAUUAAAUCAAUGCAGAAAUUGUUUUAUGUUAGUGUAGAAUUGGCCU
This is a non-coding RNA of Chiloscyllium plagiosum (whitespotted bambooshark), 451 nucleotides long. The record is from RefSeq and is a predicted model, not a curated record. NCBI's taxonomy places the organism in Eukaryota, Metazoa, Chordata, Chondrichthyes, Orectolobiformes, Hemiscylliidae.